Molecule: long non-coding RNA, 496 nt
Filed under: Homo sapiens (human)
Lineage: Eukaryota; Metazoa; Chordata; Mammalia; Primates; Hominidae
Description: long non-coding RNA NONHSAT216279.1
Source: RNAcentral
AAGAAUUUGAAAGAAAACUAAUCAAAUAGCUCAGGUCAUAAUGGGAAGAUGGCAUUGGACACAACUCAUUAUAUUCUCUUCCCUUUGGAAUUCAGGCACCAAUGACCAAAAUUAAUGUGAAAAAAGAGAUCUUAAGACUAAUAUAACAAACUCUUUGUAGCAAUAAGAUACCAAAUUCUAAUUUGACUUUUUCUAUUGAUUCCAGGUCGUUAGGUAAUAACUCCUUCAACCAAUUGCCACUCAGAAAAUAUUUGAAUCCACCUAUAACCCACCCACAUCAAGUCUUCCCUCCUUUCCAGACUGAACCAAUGUUUACCUCACAUGUGUUGAUUGAUGUUUUAUGUCUCCCUAAAACAUAUAAAACCAAGCUGUAACUCAACCACUCAGGACACAUGUUCUCAGGAUCUCUUGAGACUGUGCCUUUGGCCUUGGUUACUCAUUUUCGGCUCAGAAUAAACCUCUUUAAAUAUUUUACAAAGUUUGUUUUUUUCAUUUU